Molecule: ribosomal RNA, 440 nt
Filed under: uncultured bacterium
Lineage: Bacteria
Description: partial 16S ribosomal RNA
Rfam family: Bacterial small subunit ribosomal RNA
Source: RNAcentral
CUACGGGACGCAGCAGUGAGGAAUAUUGCACAAUGGGGGGAACCCUGAUGCAGCAACGCCGCGUGGAGGAUGACGCAUUUCGGUGUGUAAACUCCUUUUAUAUGUCAAGAAAAUGACGGUAGCAUAUGAAUAAGCACCGGCUAACUCCGUGCCAGCAGCCGCGGUAAUACGGGAGGGUGCAAGCGUUACUCGGAAUCACUGGGCGUAAAGGACGUGUAGGCGGGUUGGAAAGUCAGGUGUGAAAUCCUACAGCUUAACUGUAGAACUGCACUUGAAACUUCUAAUCUAGAGUAUGGGAGGGGGAGAUGGAAUUAGUGGUGUAGGGGUAAAAUCCGUAGAUAUCACUAGGAAUACCUAAAGCGAAGGCGAUCUCCUGGAACAUUACUGACGCUAAGGCGUGAAAGCGUGGGGAGCAAACAGGAUUAGAUACCCUAGUAGUC